GAUAAAAUCAGAGUGGGUAGUCGAAGGUUUACUGGCUACAAAUUCAAAGAGUGUAAAGGUUUACACACCAUAAAAAAUAAUAAUAAUAAUAAUAAAUAAAAUAAUGGCACCCCCCUUAUUAUCUUUCCGCCGUUUGGCCAAAUGUUCGGUUGUACCUUCAGAGACAUGUCUCAUCCAUCUACGAAGACAUGUAGGGAGAAAUUACAGAGAGAGUUUGUUGUCUGAGUCGCUGUGGGAAAUCGCACAGAUGAGGGAACAACCACCUGCAUAGACAUCCUAUUGGCUAUUCUGUUGCCUCCCCCUGGUGAUUUCCUCAAGUUUAUGCAACUCUCUCUCUCUCUCACUCUGUCUACCCACAUCUAUAGAUGUCUUUGUAUGUAUUUUUUUGCAUAAGAGCACACGCACGCACACAUAUAGAUCUGUUGUUUUAGUUAAUUUCAUGCUUUGUAAUAUGAAACUAUAAAAGGGUUUCUUUUCUUCAACAAAAUUAAUUUUGUCGAUA
Molecule: long non-coding RNA, 502 nt
Organism: Cornus florida
Lineage: Eukaryota; Viridiplantae; Streptophyta; Magnoliopsida; Cornales; Cornaceae
Exons: 2
Source: RefSeq, a predicted model, not a curated record